GGGUUGUGAGGUUAAGCGACUAAGCGUACACGGUGGAUGCCCUGGCAGUCAGAGGCGAUGAAGGACGUGCUAAUCUGCGAUAAGCGUCGGUAAGGUGAUAUGAACCGUUAUAACCGGCGAUUUCCGAAUGGGGAAACCCAGUGUGUUUCGACACACUAUCAUUAACUGAAUCCAUAGGUUAAUGAGGCGAACCGGGGGAACUGAAACAUCUAAGUACCCCGAGGAAAAGAAAUCAACCGAGAUUCCCCCAGUAGCGGCGAGCGAACGGGGAGCAGCCCAGAGCCUGAAUCAGUGUGUGUGUUAGUGGAAGCGUCUGGAAAGGCGCGCGAUACAGGGUGACAGCCCCGUACACAAAAAUGCACAUGCUGUGAGCUCGAUGAGUAGGGCGGGACACGUGGUAUCCUGUCUGAAUAUGGGGGGACCAUCCUCCAAGGCUAAAUACUCCUGACUGACCGAUAGUGAACCAGUACCGUGAGGGAAAGGCGAAAAGAACCCCGGCGAGGGGAGUGAAAAAGAACCUGAAACCGUGUACGUACAAGCAGUGGGAGCACGCUUAGGCGUGUGACUGCGUACCUUUUGUAUAAUGGGUCAGCGACUUAUAUUCUGUAGCAAGGUUAACCGAAUAGGGGAGCCGAAGGGAAACCGAGUCUUAACUGGGCGUUAAGUUGCAGGGUAUAGACCCGAAACCCGGUGAUCUAGCCAUGGGCAGGUUGAAGGUUGGGUAACACUAACUGGAGGACCGAACCGACUAAUGUUGAAAAAUUAGCGGAUGACUUGUGGCUGGGGGUGAAAGGCCAAUCAAACCGGGAGAUAGCUGGUUCUCCCCGAAAGCUAUUUAGGUAGCGCCUCGUGAAUUCAUCUCCGGGGGUAGAGCACUGUUUCGGCAAGGGGGUCAUCCCGACUUACCAACCCGAUGCAAACUGCGAAUACCGGAGAAUGUUAUCACGGGAGACACACGGCGGGUGCUAACGUCCGUCGUGAAGAGGGAAACAACCCAGACCGCCAGCUAAGGUCCCAAAGUCAUGGUUAAGUGGGAAACGAUGUGGGAAGGCCCAGACAGCCAGGAUGUUGGCUUAGAAGCAGCCAUCAUUUAAAGAAAGCGUAAUAGCUCACUGGUCGAGUCGGCCUGCGCGGAAGAUGUAACGGGGCUAAACCAUGCACCGAAGCUGCGGCAGCGACGCUUAUGCGUUGUUGGGUAGGGGAGCGUUCUGUAAGCCUGUGAAGGUGUGCUGUGAGGCAUGCUGGAGGUAUCAGAAGUGCGAAUGCUGACAUAAGUAACGAUAAAGCGGGUGAAAAGCCCGCUCGCCGGAAGACCAAGGGUUCCUGUCCAACGUUAAUCGGGGCAGGGUGAGUCGACCCCUAAGGCGAGGCCGAAAGGCGUAGUCGAUGGGAAACAGGUUAAUAUUCCUGUACUUGGUGUUACUGCGAAGGGGGGACGGAGAAGGCUAUGUUGGCCGGGCGACGGUUGUCCCGGUUUAAGCGUGUAGGCUGGUUUUCCAGGCAAAUCCGGAAAAUCAAGGCUGAGGCGUGAUGACGAGGCACUACGGUGCUGAAGCAACAAAUGCCCUGCUUCCAGGAAAAGCCUCUAAGCAUCAGGUAACAUCAAAUCGUACCCCAAACCGACACAGGUGGUCAGGUAGAGAAUACCAAGGCGCUUGAGAGAACUCGGGUGAAGGAACUAGGCAAAAUGGUGCCGUAACUUCGGGAGAAGGCACGCUGAUAUGUAGGUGAAGUCCCUCGCGGAUGGAGCUGAAAUCAGUCGAAGAUACCAGCUGGCUGCAACUGUUUAUUAAAAACACAGCACUGUGCAAACACGAAAGUGGACGUAUACGGUGUGACGCCUGCCCGGUGCCGGAAGGUUAAUUGAUGGGGUUAGCCGCAAGGCGAAGCUCUUGAUCGAAGCCCCGGUAAACGGCGGCCGUAACUAUAACGGUCCUAAGGUAGCGAAAUUCCUUGUCGGGUAAGUUCCGACCUGCACGAAUGGCGUAAUGAUGGCCAGGCUGUCUCCACCCGAGACUCAGUGAAAUUGAACUCGCUGUGAAGAUGCAGUGUACCCGCGGCAAGACGGAAAGACCCCGUGAACCUUUACUAUAGCUUGACACUGAACAUUGAGCCUUGAUGUGUAGGAUAGGUGGGAGGCUUUGAAGUGUGGACGCCAGUCUGCAUGGAGCCGACCUUGAAAUACCACCCUUUAAUGUUUGAUGUUCUAACGUUGACCCGUAAUCCGGGUUGCGGACAGUGUCUGGUGGGUAGUUUGACUGGGGCGGUCUCCUCCUAAAGAGUAACGGAGGAGCACGAAGGUUGGCUAAUCCUGGUCGGACAUCAGGAGGUUAGUGCAAUGGCAUAAGCCAGCUUGACUGCGAGCGUGACGGCGCGAGCAGGUGCGAAAGCAGGUCAUAGUGAUCCGGUGGUUCUGAAUGGAAGGGCCAUCGCUCAACGGAUAAAAGGUACUCCGGGGAUAACAGGCUGAUACCGCCCAAGAGUUCAUAUCGACGGCGGUGUUUGGCACCUCGAUGUCGGCUCAUCACAUCCUGGGGCUGAAGUAGGUCCCAAGGGUAUGGCUGUUCGCCAUUUAAAGUGGUACGCGAGCUGGGUUUAGAACGUCGUGAGACAGUUCGGUCCCUAUCUGCCGUGGGCGCUGGAGAACUGAGGGGGGCUGCUCCUAGUACGAGAGGACCGGAGUGGACGCAUCACUGGUGUUCGGGUUGUCAUGCCAAUGGCACUGCCCGGUAGCUAAAUGCGGAAGAGAUAAGUGCUGAAAGCAUCUAAGCACGAAACUUGCCCCGAGAUGAGUUCUCCCUGACUCCUUGAGAGUCCUGAAGGAACGUUGAAGACGACGACGUUGAUAGGCCGGGUGUGUAAGCGCAGCGAUGCGUUGAGCUAACCGGUACUAAUGAACCGUGAGGCUUAACCUUACAACGCCGAAGGUGUUUC
Molecule: ribosomal RNA, 2934 nt
Filed under: Escherichia coli
Lineage: Bacteria; Pseudomonadati; Pseudomonadota; Gammaproteobacteria; Enterobacterales; Enterobacteriaceae
Description: bacterial LSU rRNA
Rfam family: Bacterial large subunit ribosomal RNA
Source: RNAcentral